Molecule: RNA transcript, 790 nt
Organism: Lycium barbarum (goji berry)
Lineage: Eukaryota; Viridiplantae; Streptophyta; Magnoliopsida; Solanales; Solanaceae
Gene name: large ribosomal subunit protein uL15c-like
Exons: 2
Source: RefSeq, a predicted model, not a curated record
UCAAGAGUAUAAGUUAUUAAGUCCUCUCUUGAUGUGAUACUAUGUACGAAUAUUUUUUCAAGUUUUCCCAAACCAUAAUAUCCAUUGAACAAUGUUGAGUUUCCUCUCAUUGGUUCUCCUAGCUUAAGAGAGAAUGAGAUCUUAGGCGAUGGCGAGCUAAGCGUGAAACUCCACUGUAAGGCCCGCGCCUUUUUGUUAGCAGCAAAAGAGAAAUUAGAGGCUGCUGGUUUUUCCUCGACUGUUCUACCAGGUAGAAAGAAAUGGGUAAAACCAUCAGUUGCUAAGAACCUUGCUAGAGCUGAGGAAUAUUUUUUGCAAAGAAAAGAGCAGCUGCAUCUGACGUAGCUAACCCCUCUUCUGCUUAAGUCAAAACUUUUGUCAGCCACACAAUUUUUGUUUAUGUUGUCACCCCAGAAAGGGGUUGUAAAGCAACAUUCAAAAGGUUUUGGAUUCUUUUCUCUUUAAGGUUUCCAAAAUGUGUUCUAUUCUAUAGCUUUUAUUCCGGUAUCGGACUAUGAUAAUUUGUUUUAUUCAAGCAUUCAACAUUAUGACCUAGUGCUCACUGAAAUGGGUGCAAACCAACACCCAGGGCAAAAAAAUUACGUGUCGAUUUCCUCUCAUCUACCUAUAUCUUGGCGAGCAGAGUUAUCCAAUACAUUUGUUGUUGUGAAGUAUUUAUUAAUAUCAUGUAUAGCUAUCCUAUGGUGUUGCUAAAUGGAUAUCCUAUUAACUUUCAUGAAUGAUAAAUUAUAGAUGGAACUACCAAAUCGAGAAAAAAAAAUGAGUGCUA